AAAGGUAUCAAAUUGUUAAAAUUCGAAUUAGUAUAUUUUGUAAUUAUCUCGUUAAUACAUACAAUUGUGUUAGCGAACACGCUACAUUUUCAUAUACAUCGGUUCAAGAUUUUUUUUCAAAAAGUUGUUUACAGACACAAUGGAAAAAAAAGAAAAGAAAAGCAAGCCACACCACGUAGUAAAACCAAAAGGUUCGUCGCUGCGUUCCGAAUCUAAAACGCUCCGUAAAGAUGCGUAUAAUUAUCCCGACAAAAACCGUAUAUAUACGAUUUCCCGGUAGUUAUCGAUUCCGCACAUGGCAUAUCGCGUAUAACUUUUUAUUAUUACUAACGGAAGACAAGGGGUGCGGUGGGUAGAAGUACGACGAGUUAAUUGGUCACUACGUAACUCUAUAAUAUAU
Cinara cedri is the source of this 400-nucleotide non-coding RNA. Lineage: Eukaryota; Metazoa; Arthropoda; Insecta; Hemiptera; Aphididae. The record is from the annotation of a GenBank genome assembly.